UACGGAGGGGGCCAGCGUUGUUCGGAAUUAUUGGGCGUAAAGGGCGCGUAGGCGGUCGAGUAAGUCUGACGUGAAAUCCCUUGGCUCAACCAAGGAACUGCGUCUUAAACUGCUCGGCUUGAGUCCGGGAGAGGGUAGUGGAAUUCCCAGUGUAGCGGUGAAAUGCGUAGAUAUUGGGAGGAACACCGGUGGCGAAGGCGGCUACCUGGACCGGUACUGACGCUGAGGCGCGAAAGCUAGGGGAGCAAACGGG
This 253-nucleotide ribosomal RNA is filed under the name uncultured bacterium. RNAcentral's name for it is "partial 16S ribosomal RNA". It matches the Rfam family "Bacterial small subunit ribosomal RNA", at positions 524 to 776 of the family's 1533-position model. The record is from RNAcentral.